RNAcentral lists this ribosomal RNA (1238 nucleotides) under metagenome. RNAcentral's name for it is "bacterial LSU rRNA". It matches the Rfam family "Bacterial large subunit ribosomal RNA", at positions 1564 to 2813 of the family's 2925-position model. The record is from RNAcentral.
UGAUGACGAGACGCUAAGGCGUUGAAGCAGUGUAUGUCAGACUUCCAAGAAAAGCUCGCAAUGUCACUAAUAAAAAAUGCCUGUACCAUAACCGACACAGGUGGGUAGGUAGAGUAUACUAAGGGGCGCGAGAUAACUCUCUCUAGGAACUCGGCAAAAUGACUCCGUAACUUCGGGAGAAGGAGUGCCUUAUUUAUAAGGUUGCAAUAACAAGAUCCAAGCAACUGUUUAUCAAAAACACAGGUCUCCGCUAAGUCGUAAGACGAUGUAUGGGGGCUGACGCCUGCCCAGUGCCAGAAGGUUAAAGAAGUUGGUUAGUGUAUGCGAAGCUGAUGACUGAAGCCCUGGUGAACGGCGGCCGUAACAAUAACGGUCCUAAGGUAGCGAAAUUCCUUGUCGGGUAAGUUCCGACCCGCACGGAAGGCGUAAUGAUUUGGAUACUGUCUCGGAGAGAGGCUCGGUGAAAUAGACCUGUCUGUGAAGAUGCGGACUACCUGCACCAGGACAGAAAGACCCUAUGAAGCUUUACUGUAACUUGAAAUUGGAAUUGGACUUUGCUUGCGCAGUAUAGGUGGGAAGCGUUGAAAAUAUUCUUGCGGGAGUAUUGGAGCUAUCAGUGAGAUACCACUCUUGUAAUGUUAGAUGUCUAACUUUGAACCAUAAUCUGGUCAAAGAACAGUUUCAGGUGGGCAGUUUGACUGGGGCGGUCGCCUCCCAAAUGGUAACGGAGGCGUACAAAGGUUUCCUCUGAACGGAUAGAAAUCGUAUCUAGAGUGUAAAGGCAUAAGGAAGCUUGACUGUGAGACCUACAAGUCGAGCAGGGACGAAAGUCGGUCUUAGUGAUCUGACGGUACUGAGUGGAAAGGCCGUCACUCAACGGAUAAAAGUUACUCUAGGAUAACAGGCUGAUCUCCCCCAAGAGUUCACAUCGACGGGGAGGUUUGGCACCUCGAUGUCGGCUCAUCGCAUCCUGGGGCGGUAGUACGUCCCAAGGGUUGGGCUGUUCGCCCAUGAAAGCGGUACGCGAGCUGGGUUCAGAACGUCGUGAGACAGUUCGGUCCAUAUCCGGUGUAGGCGCUAGAAUAUUGAGAGGAGCCUUCUUUAGUACGAGAGGACCGAGAAGGACACACCGCUGGUGUACCAGUUAUCGUGCCAACGGUAAACGCUGGGUAGCUAUGUGUGGAGUGGAUAACCGCUGAAAGCAUCUAAGUGGGAAGCCCACCUCGAGAUGAGUAUUC